UUAAGUGAAUAAGGGCGCACGGUGGAUGCCUUGGCACUAGGAGCCGAUGAAGGACGGGACUAACACCGAUAUGCUUUGGGGAGCUGUACGUAAGCUAUGAUCCAGAGAUUUCCGAAUGGGGGAACCCAGCAUCUUUAAUAGGAUGUUACGAUUGUGUGAAUACAUAGCACAUUCGAGGUAGACGCAGAGAACUGAAACAUCUAAGUACCUGCAGGAAGAGAAAGAAAAUUCGAUUCCCUGAGUAGCGGCGAGCGAAACGGGAAAAGCCCAAACCAGCAAGCUUGCUUGUUGGGGUUGUAGGACUCCAAUAUGGUAGUUCUUUCAGAUAGUCGAAUGACUUGGAAAAGUCAGUCAAAGAGGGUAAAAACCCCGUAGACGAAAUGUGGAAGACACCUAGGAGGAUCCUGAGUACGGCGGAACACGAGAAAUUCCGUCGGAAUCCGGGAGGACCAUCUCCCAAGGCUAAAUACUCCCUAGUGACCGAUAGUGAACCAGUACCGUGAGGGAAAGGUGAAAAGCACCCCGGAAGGGGAGUGAAAUAGAACCUGAAACCGUGUGCCUACAACAAGUCAAAGCCCGUUAAUGGGUGAUGGCGUGCCUUUUGUAGAAUGAACCGGCGAGUUACGAUUGCAUGCGAGGUUAAGUUGAAGAGACGGAGCCGCAGCGAAAGCGAGUCUGAAUAGGGCGUUUGAGUAUGUAGUCGUAGACCCGAAACCAUGUGAUCUACCCAUGUCCAGGUUGAAGGUGCGGUAAAACGCACUGGAGGACCGAACCCACGUACGUUGAAAAGUGCGGGGAUGAGGUGUGGGUAGCGGAGAAAUUCCAAACGAACUUGGAGAUAGCUGGUUCUCUCCGAAAUAGCUUUAGGGCUAGCCUCGGAAUUGAGAAUGAUGGAGGUAGAGCACUGUUUGGACUAGGGGCCCAUCUCGGGUUACCGAAUUCAGAUAAACUCCGAAUGCCAUUCAUUCAUAUCCGGGAGUCAGACUGUGAGUGAUAAGAUCCAUAGUCGAAAGGGAAACAGCCCAGACCACCAGCUAAGGUCCCAAAAUAUAUGUUAAGUGGAAAAGGAUGUGGGGUUGCACAGACAACUAGGAUGUUGGCUUAGAAGCAGCCAUCAUUUAAAGAGUGCGUAAUAGCUCACUAGUCGAGUGACCCUGCGCCGAAAAUGUACCGGGGCUAAACAUAUUACCGAAGCUGUGGAGUACACCUUUAGGUGUAUUGGUAGGAGAGCGUUCUAAGGGCGUCGAAGGCAGAUCGUGAGGACUGCUGGAGCGCUUAGAAGUGAGAAUGCCGGUAUGAGUAGCGAAAGACAGGUGAGAAUCCUGUCCACCGAAUGACUAAGGUUUCCUGGGGAAGGCUCGUCCGCCCAGGGUUAGUCGGGACCUAAGCCGAGGCCGACAGGCGUAGGCGAUGGAUAACAGGUUGAUAUUCCUGUACCCGUUGUUUUUGUUUGAGCAAUGGAGGGACGCAGGAGGCUAAGGAAUGCAGACGAUCGGAAAUGUCUGUCCAAGCAGUAAGUCUGAAGAGGAGUCAAAUGCUUCUUUUCUUAAGGACAAGCUGUGAUGGGGAGGGAAAUAAUAGUACCGAAGUUCCUGAUGUCACACUGCCGAGAAAAGCUUCUAGUGAGAAAACAGCGGCCCGUACCGCAAACCGACACAGGUAGUCGAGGAGAGAAUCCUAAGGUGAGCGAGAGAACUCUCGUUAAGGAACUCGGCAAAAUGACCCCGUAACUUCGGGAGAAGGGGUGCUGAUCAUACGAUCAGCCGCAGUGAAUAGGCCCAAGCGACUGUUUAUCAAAAACACAGGUCUCUGCAAAAUCGUAAGAUGAAGUAUAGGGGCUGACGCCUGCCCGGUGCUGGAAGGUUAAGAGGAGUGCUUAGCGCAAGCGAAGGUACGAAUUGAAGCCCCAGUAAACGGCGGCCGUAACUAUAACGGUCCUAAGGUAGCGAAAUUCCUUGUCGGGUAAGUUCCGACCCGCACGAAAGGCGUAACGAUUUGGGCACUGUCUCAACGAGAGACUCGGUGAAAUUUUAGUACCUGUGAAGAUGCAGGUUACCCGCGACAGGACGGAAAGACCCCAUGGAGCUUUACUGUAGUUUGAUAUUGAGUGUCUGUACCGCAUGUACAGGAUAGGUAGGAGCCGUAGAAAUCGGAACGCUAGUUUCGAUGGAGGCGCUGGUGGGAUACUACCCCUGCGUUAUGGCCACUCUAACCCGCACCACUAAUCGUGGUGGGAGACAGUGUCAGAUGGGCAGUUUGACUGGGGCGGUCGCCUCCUAAAAGGUAACGGAGGCGCCCAAAGGUUCCCUCAGAAUGGUUGGAAAUCAUUCGAAGAGUGUAAAGGCAGAAGGGAGCUUGACUGCGAGACCAACAAGUCGAGCAGGGACGAAAGUCGGGCUUAGUGAUCCGGUGGUUCCGCAUGGAAGGGCCAUCGCUCAACGGAUAAAAGCUACCCUGGGGAUAACAGGCUUAUCUCCCCCAAGAGUCCACAUCGACGGGGAGGUUUGGCACCUCGAUGUCGGCUCGUCGCAUCCUGGGGCUGUAGUCGGUCCCAAGGGUUGGGCUGUUCGCCCAUUAAAGCGGCACGCGAGCUGGGUUCAGAACGUCGUGAGACAGUUCGGUCCCUAUCCGUCGCGGGCGUUGGAAAUUUGAGAGGAGCUGUCCUUAGUACGAGAGGACCGGGAUGGACUUACCGCUGGUGUACCAGUUGUUCUGCCAAGGGCAUUGCUGGGUAGCUAUGUAGGGAAGGGAUAAACGCUGAAAGCAUCUAAGUGUGAAGCCCACCUCAAGAUGAGAUUUCCCAUUUCUUUAAGAAAGUAAGAUCCCUGAGAGAUGAUCAGGUAGAUAGGUCAGGAGUGGAAGUACAGUGAUGUAUGAAGCGGACUGAUACUAAUCGAUCGAGGACUUAACCAA
This 2913-nucleotide ribosomal RNA is filed under the name Enterococcus faecium EnGen0006. RNAcentral describes it as "bacterial LSU rRNA". It matches the Rfam family "Bacterial large subunit ribosomal RNA". Lineage: Bacteria; Bacillati; Bacillota; Bacilli; Lactobacillales; Enterococcaceae. The record is from RNAcentral.